UCACUGCUAUCGGUGUCCGAUUAAGCCAUGCGAGUCGUGAGGGGUGAGCCCUCGGCGUACUGCUCGUAACACGUGGACAAUCUGCCCAAAGGUCCGGGAUAACCCCGGGAACGUAGGGAGUAAUACCGGAUAGGCCACCAACUGCUGGAAUGCUUGGUGGUUGAAACGCGAGGCUUUUGGUAUGGGUCGGCGGCGGAUUAGGUUGACGCGGUGUAACGUACCGCGUGCCUGUAAUCCGUACGGGUUGUGGGAGCAAAAAGACCGGAGAGGAUUCUGAGCACGAAUCCAGGCCUACGGGCGCAGCAGGCGCGAUG
RNAcentral lists this ribosomal RNA (314 nucleotides) under uncultured archaeon. RNAcentral's name for it is "bacterial SSU rRNA". It matches the Rfam family "Archaeal small subunit ribosomal RNA", at positions 24 to 346 of the family's 1478-position model. The record is from RNAcentral.